ACGGGAGGCAGCAGUGGGGAAUAUUGGGCAAUGGGCGAAAGCCUGACCCAGCAACGCUGCGUGAAGGAAGAAGGUCUUCGGAUUGUAAACUUCUUUUAUAAGGGACGAAGAAAGUGACGGUACCUUAUGAAUAAUCCACGGCUAACUACGUGCCAGCAGCCGCGGUAAUACGUAGGUGGCAAGCGUUAUCCGGAUUUACUGGGUGUAAAGGGCGCGUAGGCGGUGAUGCAAGUCAGAUGUGAAAUCUAUGGGCUCAAAUCAUAAACUGCAUUUGAAACUGUAGCUCUUGAGUGCUGGAGAGGUAGAUGGAAUUCCUGGUGGAGCGGUGAAAUGCGUAGAUAUAAGGAAGAACACCAGUGGCGAAGGCGAUCUACUGGACAGUAACUGACGCUGAGGCGCGAGAGCGUGGGGAGCAAACAGGAUUAGAUACCCUGGUA
RNAcentral lists this ribosomal RNA (437 nucleotides) under uncultured Oscillospiraceae bacterium. Its description in RNAcentral is "partial 16S ribosomal RNA". It matches the Rfam family "Bacterial small subunit ribosomal RNA", at positions 341 to 792 of the family's 1533-position model. The record is from RNAcentral. Lineage: Bacteria; Bacillati; Bacillota; Clostridia; Eubacteriales; Oscillospiraceae.